GACAGAGGGUGCAAACGUUGUUCGGAUUUACUGGGCGUAAAGCGCGUGUAGGCGGCUUUGCAAGUCGGAUGUGAAAGCCCACGGCUCAACCGUGGAAGUGCAUCCGAAACUGCAUGGCUGGAGUCUCGGAGAGGAAGGUGGAAUGCUUGGUGUAGAGGUGAAAUUCGUAGAUAUUCGCAAGAACACCAGUGGCGAAGGCGGCUCACUGGCCCGGUACUGACGCUGAGGUGCGAAAGCGUGGGGAGCAAACAGG
This 253-nucleotide ribosomal RNA is filed under the name uncultured bacterium. Its description in RNAcentral is "partial 16S ribosomal RNA". It matches the Rfam family "Bacterial small subunit ribosomal RNA", at positions 524 to 776 of the family's 1533-position model. The record is from RNAcentral.